This 253-nucleotide ribosomal RNA is filed under the name uncultured bacterium. RNAcentral's name for it is "partial 16S ribosomal RNA". It matches the Rfam family "Bacterial small subunit ribosomal RNA", at positions 524 to 776 of the family's 1533-position model. The record is from RNAcentral.
UACGGAGGGUGCGAGCGUUGUCCGGAAUCACUGGGCGUAAAGGGCGCGUAGGCGGCUCAAGCAGCGUGUGGUGAAAGCUCGGGGCUCAACCCCGAGUCGGCCGUGCGAACUCUUGGGCUGGAGUGCUGUAGAGGUGGGCGGAAUUCCGGGUGUAGCGGUGGAAUGCGUAGAGAUCCGGAAGAACACCGGUGGCGAAGGCGGCUCACUGGGCUGACCUUGACGCUGAGGCGCGAAGGCGUGGGGAGCGAACGGG